GUAAAGUAUGUUUCUAAUUCUAUACGGACAGACAUACCAUAAGGUGGUUUUUUUGUUUGUUUUUCUUUUCUUGUAUUUUCUUUUUGGUGUGGGCCUCUACCCUAACAUUAGACUUUGAUUUAUUUUAGAUUUCCUCAUUUAGUCACUUGUUUUUUUGCAGUCAGUCCAGGUGCAAGUUGAAGCUGAUAGGAGCUGGCAGUGUUUGUUUUAUUGUGAACCGUAUUCAGUCUGAUAUUUAAUUAUGUUUCCAUGUGGAUUUGUAAUGUGGAUUAAUAGUUUUAUUUUACUCCUGUGAUUAGUUUCUGUUUGUUCUAAUUUCUUUUUGGUUCUUUCUUGACCUUGAGGUGAAAAAACACAGAAGAUGUAUUCCCUCAAUUUAAUGCCAGUCUGAGGUGUUUCUCCUGCAUCAUCAGAUCAAUGAAAAGUAAAUAGCCUACACUUCUUGUUUCACAGUGCAGUAUUGAUCUUUCUUCAGCUUUUGCUUCCCUUUUUCCCUGCGUCUUGUGUCUUUCAACCCCUGGGACCGAAGUGAUUGCCAUAGAUUGGACAAGCUAACAAGCGCAUGAUAAGGAACUACUGUUUUGUGGUACACUCACAUUCACACGCCUGGUAUAUAAAGCCUGGACCUCUCCGCAUUGAAAGAGAGGUGCCAUUUUGUGUAUGGCACAAGUCACUAUGAAAAAGAACCACGAAGAAGGCACCCGAGCAGCAGAGGAUUUUAUUCUUCACACCGAUCUUUUAUUCCUACAGCUGGUGCCAAGCUGGGUGAGGACAUUACUCCCCUGAAAAGUAAGACAGUAGCCUGUGGGGAAUGCCACAAUCUGCUUUUUGCUAUGGCGAUGUAUGGGAUGGUGGCAGCCUGUGGGGGUGACAGAGUUGUUGUACCCAAACAGCACUAUUGAGAAAUGGUAUCUGAAGUCCCCUAAGUAUUAAUGGAGAUUCCCACAUUUCACUCCAGCUAACAGCUGAACAGCUGGCAGUUCUAGACUGUUACACUCUCUUUUGGAUGGGUAAGUUGUGGAUGAUACUCCCCUGUGC
This 1038-nucleotide long non-coding RNA is filed under the name Anas platyrhynchos platyrhynchos (common mallard). Its description in RNAcentral is "lncRNA (ENSAPLG00000023774.1)". Lineage: Eukaryota; Metazoa; Chordata; Aves; Anseriformes; Anatidae. The record is from RNAcentral.